AGGUCAAAUAGAGGUAACUUUGUAACAACAAUCUGCCACUGCAAAAUUACUGACAUUUCCAACUAAAUUAUAUUCUCUAAAUUGUUGCCUUAAUGCUAAAUAAAUAAAGUUAUGCUAAUGUAGGGACUGAUUACAGAUUGAAAUUAGCACAAUUGCUUGUUAUACAGUCUGCUAGGGUUAACGUUUUUUAAAAACAUAAUUAAUGGCCUUUGCUUACUGUCUCUGGUUAUAGAUCCUGCAGCUCAUUUGCAUUCUUUUGCAAUAUGCUGACAGUGCUAAAUGUCUCAGAAGAAAGAUCUCAUCUGGAGGCGGAAAAUGCGUUUUGCACGUCAUCCAGCUAACACUUGUUAUGGUUCCAGGCCAGCGUUAAUAACAAAGAUGACCAGAAAGAGAAUGGAUCAGAAUGAAGCUGGAAUCCGUUUUUGCCCUUCAGUCUCGUGAUCCAAGCCUUUUCUGGAGUCAAUGUGAAAUGUAAUUGCUCUUUUGACCUCUAUCUUCUCUCUCCCCAGGUCUGAGGAAGAGCUACACUGGUUGAUUAUUGCACGAAUGAAAGGCACUCUGACCUUGUCGACCGAACGCCUUGCAGCUUUCAAUGUUGCCCAUUAUACCGCAAGCAGGCAACUCCUGGAGAGCUGCUCCCUGGGCAACCUGCCAGAAAAGGCUCCGGCGGCAGCAGUUCAGACGCGGCCAAACAGCUCAGGCAGCAAAGGAAACAGCUUCCCCAGAGGAAUCCUGCCCAGCAGCCUGAGAGCAGGACCAGCGCCAUUCUUCAGCUUCAACCUCAUGUGCCUGCCUGGAGGUAUCUUUAAAAGGAUGGAGAAAGGCUUCUGGAAAAGAUUGUCGUCGGGCACCAGUGAAGGCUGCUCCAGUUCCUGGCGUAUCUAA
This 885-nucleotide long non-coding RNA is filed under the name Sus scrofa (pig). Its description in RNAcentral is "lncRNA (ENSSSCG00065060431.1)". The record is from RNAcentral. Lineage: Eukaryota; Metazoa; Chordata; Mammalia; Artiodactyla; Suidae.